RNAcentral lists this transfer RNA (68 nucleotides) under Heterocephalus glaber (naked mole-rat). It matches the Rfam family "tRNA". From Rfam's summary of the family: Transfer RNA (tRNA) molecules are approximately 80 nucleotides in length. Their secondary structure includes four short double-helical elements and three loops (D, anti-codon, and T loops). Further hydrogen bonds mediate the characteristic L-shaped molecular structure. tRNAs have two regions of fundamental functional importance: the anti-codon, which is responsible for specific mRNA codon recognition, and the 3' end, to which the tRNAs corresponding amino acid is attached (by aminoacyl-tRNA synthetases). tRNAs cope with the degeneracy of the genetic code in two manners: having more than one tRNA (with a specific anti-codon) for a particular amino acid; and 'wobble' base-pairing, i.e. permitting non-standard base-pairing at the 3rd anti-codon position. The record is from Rfam by way of RNAcentral. Lineage: Eukaryota; Metazoa; Chordata; Mammalia; Rodentia; Bathyergidae.
GGGGAUAUGGCUCAAUGAUAGAGCACUAGCCUGUCUUGAGGCCUUGGGUUCAACCCUCAGUACCACUA